UAUAUUUUCGGGGAUCAUUUCUAUUGUGUGUCAGUAAGGAAAU
Molecule: small nuclear RNA, 43 nt
Filed under: Cervus elaphus hippelaphus
Lineage: Eukaryota; Metazoa; Chordata; Mammalia; Artiodactyla; Cervidae
Source: RNAcentral